AAGACGCUCUGGCACCAAAUGUAAGGAGGGCAAAGAACAUGACGUCUCCUUGUUGAAGUUGCCAUGGGUUUUCCAAGGAAGGGGCAUUAGUAUGAGAUGUCUGUCUGUACCAGUGUCUAAUGAUGUCUAUCUCUACCAGAGAAAUCUAGGAGCAGGCACAGACUACCAGACUGGUUAUUCCAAAUAAAAGAUUGGUGAGUGAACAGCCAUCUUCUUCAGCUUGAAUGUGGCAUAAAGAAUGAGACAACUAUCUGAGCACAAUGAAGGUGGUGGAAGAGAAUUCUGAACAUUGGCAUCACGUGUUUGACCUCCUCCGUGAUUUCAACUGAAUUUCUGCACAGAAAC
Pogona vitticeps (central bearded dragon) is the source of this 345-nucleotide non-coding RNA. The record is from RefSeq and is a predicted model, not a curated record. Lineage: Eukaryota; Metazoa; Chordata; Lepidosauria; Squamata; Agamidae.